RNAcentral lists this ribosomal RNA (468 nucleotides) under uncultured bacterium. RNAcentral's name for it is "partial 16S ribosomal RNA". It matches the Rfam family "Bacterial small subunit ribosomal RNA", at positions 28 to 507 of the family's 1533-position model. The record is from RNAcentral.
GACGAACGCUGGCGGCGUGCUUAACACAUGCCAGUCGAACGGAAAGGCCCUGCUUUUGUGGGGUGCUCGAGUGGCGAACGGGUGAGUAACACGUGAGUAACCUGCCCUUGACUUUGGGAUAACUUCAGGAAACUGGGGCUAAUACCGGAUAGGAGCUCCUGCUGCAUGGUGGGGGUUGGAAAGUUUCGGCGGUUGGGGAUGGACUCGCGGCUUAUCAGCUUGUUGGUGGGGUAGUGGCUUACCAAGGCUUUGACGGGUAGCCGGCCUGAGAGGGUGACCGGCCACAUGGGGACUGAGAUACGGCCCAGACUCCUACGGGAGGCAGCAGUGGGGAAUAUUGCACAAUGGGCGGAGGCCUGAUGCAGCAACGCCGCGUGCGGGAUGACGGCCUUCGGGUUGUAAACCGCUUUCGCCUGUGACGAAGCGUGAGUGACGGUAAUGGGUAAAGAAGCACCGGCUAACUACGUG